UUCAGCAUUAGCGUGGAUGAAAAGAUGAUGAAAACAUGUUCGAAAACAUGUUUGGAGAGUCUCGGUUCGAUUUGAAAAGAAACGGAGGUCAGACGAGCGAAAACGAGCGAAAACGGAGUGAAAAAAAGGAUAAAGGCUGAAAAUGCUGAAAAAUUGACUAAGUCUGGAAUUCUGGCCUUUCGGGGACCGGUCUCUCACUGCCUGGGAC
Molecule: long non-coding RNA, 208 nt
Filed under: Ananas comosus (pineapple)
Lineage: Eukaryota; Viridiplantae; Streptophyta; Magnoliopsida; Poales; Bromeliaceae
Description: long non-coding RNA (ACOM_LNC015116)
Source: RNAcentral